AAGUUGAUGGUGCAAUUGGAUAAGCACGUGUCCCUAGGAAAGGGUAUAAUGCGGGUUCGAGUCCCGUCUGAGGUCA
Molecule: non-coding RNA, 76 nt
Organism: Parelaphostrongylus tenuis
Lineage: Eukaryota; Metazoa; Nematoda; Chromadorea; Rhabditida; Metastrongylidae
Source: the annotation of a GenBank genome assembly